GCUGGUGACUUUGGUGGGUGGUUUUGCCCAUGCCAUGGUUCCCAUUACGAUGUCUCCGGUAGGAUCCGUAAAGGACCAGCACCCUACAAUUUGGAGGUACCUACUUACACCUUUUUGGAAGAUAACAAGCUUUUGAUUGGUUAAGAAAUCAAGCUAUUUUUCUGGGUUUGUAGUGGUUUUGGAACCUUCAUCAAUGAUAAUGUCGAAGAUUUGUUGCAGACAUAUUUUAUUUUUCUACUCAAUUUCUUUGAGUUGAUCUUUAUGUAAUGAGAAUACUGUAACUCCCGUAUCUUG
Molecule: unclassified non-coding RNA, 294 nt
Filed under: Hevea brasiliensis (rubber tree)
Lineage: Eukaryota; Viridiplantae; Streptophyta; Magnoliopsida; Malpighiales; Euphorbiaceae
Source: RNAcentral